Molecule: non-coding RNA, 1227 nt
Organism: Neurospora crassa OR74A
Lineage: Eukaryota; Fungi; Ascomycota; Sordariomycetes; Sordariales; Sordariaceae
Source: RefSeq, a predicted model, not a curated record
CGCCUUCUUUUGCUCGUCUUCCAAAGCCUUUUGCAUUUUGGCUUGGGAAUCGACACUGAGGAGAGCAGAGGUUAGUUCCUUUGGGUGCUCGUGUUCAAAGGAUGAGUAGCGGACGUACCUGUUGUCGGAGUACACCAUGUUUGCGGCUCUGAUUAGUGUGUGUGGGCUCGAAAAGAAGGACAAGAAUCUUUAUACGUCCGCCCUCAGUUGGACAGCAUCAGGACCUUGGACGUUCCCCUCAAAAGGCCGUUUGUCUUGCUUGAGAAUGUUUGGCCUCCGAGGUCUGGAAGCAGCAUGCGUCAUGGUCUUGACUUCAUCUUGUUUCAACAAGUGCAGGCGAGGGGCAUACGCCAACGAUAUUUCUGGAGCGAUCCACGACAUCGCCAUGUAGCACGGUUUUGCUGAUUGGCUUACAGAUACAAUGAGGGCAGCUUACCAAAGAACAAGAGAGACACUAAAGGUUCAUUGCGAGAAGCUACCUAGCUUCACAAGCCGCAAACAGAUGCCUCGGGCAAGUCAACGAACGCCGAUGCAACAAUUUGGUUCUUGAUCACUUUCUAGCUUGCGUGAGCCAACCUACAACUCAACCUAGCAAACAUCUUUUUUCCCUUUCCUGUCUCAUCCAGAAGGUCUUCUUCUCAAUCCUUAGUCAUAUAUCCCACCGAUUCUCACGGAAUCAUCACCAGACUUUAUCAAAACCCCCGUCAUGCUCAACAUCCAAGGCUGGCUGGCCAUGCUGAUCCGUGCAAGCAUCACAACAAGUCUACUUGCUCUGCUUCUUAGCAGCCUCCUCCGCCUUCUGCUUGUCGAUUUUCGCUUGCAUAUGUGCACAGGCCUUCCUGAUCGCCUCCUGUCUCUUCUCCUCAUCCGCUAUCAAUUUCUUAGCAGUUUCCUCUCUCUUCUUCCUCUUCUCCUCUUCCUUCUUAGCAGCGUCGCUGGGAAACAAAGCCAUUAGUGUGCGGUCUACGUACAGAGCGAACAAGGCAAAGAGCAAGAAACAGUGAGUGGAUGAUGGAAGGGGGGCAGGUAGUCCGGGACGUACUUGUUGUCAGACAUUUUUUGCUGUUUUGUCUUUGGAUUCUUUGUUGUUGUUGGUCUUGAGAUGUGUGCUUUUGGUGAAGCUUGUUCAGUGGUUCUUGCUUUUCUGUUUGAGGCUUUGUGGAUGAUGAAAGAAGUGAAAAAAGGAAGCAACGAACUAGUGCAUGGCCAUGAUCUUUAUACCUUUUG